AUGGCUGCUAAGCAAGUUUCAUGGACACCUACCAUGUCAAAGUUCAUGCUGACAUGGCUAAGUGAUUUAGUCUCUAAUGGCAAUAGAACAAGUACUGUCUUCAAGCAAUCACAGUUCAACGCUUGCGCCAUUGCUUUAAAUGAGCAUUUCCAACUUAACUUGAAUGGAGAUCAGAUCAAAAAUCAUAAUCGGACAUGGAAGAGGAAACUUCAGAAAAUAGUGAAACUCAAGGAGUUGUGUGGUGCACUAUGGGAUGAGGACAAGUGUAUGAUUGUUCUUGAUCAUGAGCAUUACACAAAUCAUGUUAGGGUAACUAUUUUCCUGCCCAUGAGUAUUUGUUAUUAUUAUUUCUUUACACAAAUCAUUCUACUUGUUGGAAUUGUUUGA
Molecule: ribosomal RNA, 387 nt
Filed under: Triticum aestivum (bread wheat)
Lineage: Eukaryota; Viridiplantae; Streptophyta; Magnoliopsida; Poales; Poaceae
Description: partial small subunit ribosomal RNA
Source: RNAcentral